CGGAAGGCAGUAACACAUAGUAAAUAAGUUUAGGGUCUUUCAAGUUAGACAGUGAGGAUUCAAGUCGUCCUCCCCCUCCCCCCCUUACUUACUAUCCAUGUGACCCUGAACAAACUAUUUCCCAUCUAUGAACUCCAGUUUCCUCAUCAGGAGGUUUGAGAUGAUAAUUGUGGCGGAUGGCCGCUGUUGAUUUGUUUUGUUUUGUUUUGUUUUGUUUUGUUUUGUUUUGACCUCCAGCCAGCAUCAAUUAACCCGCUUCUGCCUUAGGGCAACCAGGUCUUGCCCACUCUGAACCACGAUUUCACUCCCGGGCUCGGUGCGUCCGGGCAUGUGACCUGGGCUUCAGCCAAUCAGUGCAUCCAUCACCUGAGCAGAGAUUGGCUGGUGGGCGGUCAUGUGACCCAAGCCAGUCCAAUGGAGUCCUCCUUAGGGCUUCCGUGAACCACUUCCUUUCCAUAGCCUUGCGGCUGUGAGGGUGGCCCGGUCCCUGCUGCAAAGGUUUUUUGCUCCGCCACGAGAACGCGCUCCGGAAGAGUCGAGCCAAGAGAAACCAGUUGUGGUGGACAACUUUUGAGCCCUUCGUGGUGAUGCCAGUCAUGAUUUUCCACUGACACAGGUGCUCCAUGAUAUUGCGUGGGCUUCUAAUAAACGUCCAGUAAACCGCAGGUAGCGCCUCGGAGAGGGAUGGGCCCGUGCACCUGUCCACAAAGGGCCUCCACACGCCGCACCUCCACCUUCUGUCGCCCAGCCCUGGCACAGCCAGCUUCGGAGACGAGCCUGCCCCUCGGGACGCCCGCAGCUUUAAAGUCGGGUGAAAAUGGAGGCUGUGCGCCCUACAAGGAAGCACGGUGGGCUGAUAAAGCUUCCCUCGUCGUGCUCAGUUUUCAGUGUGGCGCCCACUGAAGGGAGGGGGCUGCUGCCUGGACUGUGGAGCUGGGACGCGUCUGCCUGGCUGUGACGGGGAAUCCAUCAGAUGGUGAAGUGGGUCAACUGCUUACAAGGGACAUAAAGAGCAGCAGAGACGGAGAAUAUUUAUACGUCCAUCUUCUCCGAGAGAAGAUGCUUCAUCACAGGGAUUGGCUGCAAAAUUACACUUUUCCUGACUCCUGAACAGAGACAACCUUUUGUCCGGGCAGCGGGAAGGACAGUAAGGCUUUCACUGGGACACGGUCCCCCAGGGCCACCACCACUCUCCUGCUGCUCAGCCCCAUGGGGGAGGGGCCUGGGCCAGAAAACCUCCCCAUCACUGCCACCGAUCACCUCCUGUGGCUGAGGGGAGAGGAGCAACAACUCACUUUCUCAUGCUUUGGACUAAUUUACACGGCAGAGGCCCUGCUCCCGGCCGGGGACGGACGUGGACGGCAGGGAAUAUGGCUGCUGGACAACAGGCUGGGCAGGAAGGAGGCUGGUGUCACCACUGAGCACCAGGAGAGUGAUGGCACUCAAGUGAGAAUUUCUUUAGUAAGCACCGCUUCGUCCACUGUCAACACCCACAGCUGAGAGUAGUUCUGAGUCGUGCAGGUUUGACAUGCUACCCCAGGUAUCCAAACUCGCAAACUGAGCCCUCUCUACCCUACCACCUUGCCUCCACCGUGUACACGGUCCACAUACGUCCCUGCAAACACCCGGUAUCUGCCCACCAACGUGGCGGGUGGCUCUAGUCCACACUGUUAGCCACACUGCCAGGGCGGGGGGGGGGGGGGCCUCAUGCGUCUUCCUGCUGGCCUGGCCAGGGCCCAGCGUCACACUUUCCCUGAAGCUCGCCUGCUUCUGGGGGGAGGGGAGGCUGGAGGUGCACUGCCCACUCACAACUGGGGUGACACCUGGUCUCUCUCCAUCUCUUACUGGGGUGCUUCUCGGGUGUGGCAGGCUGGGGCGCACUGCGGGUCCCUGCUUGCGCUGGCUGCUGGGGUAUUCCCUUUGGUCCCUAACCACCCAGCUCAAAGCUGACAGGGUGAGGGGGGUCCUUCAUGGAGUGAACUAUCCCUGCGGCCAAAUGAUGGUGAUAGGGCACAGGCUUAAAUUCAGAAACACCCCCAGGCAGAGCAGAGUAUGUAAAGUUAAAGCAGACCCACCCCGGUUCUGGACAGACAGAACGAUGUGUUGUCAUCAGGGACUGCACUUGAACUUCCUUUACGGCUGGGACCACUGAGCCCAGGUUUCAGCUCUGCACGGGGGCAACAGCACCUGUCUGCACAGGGUGUGGAGAGUGAAGGAGGACAGCACAUGGCGGCCUCCAUGGAUGCCGGCCUCUCCCUGCUGCUCAGGAGCCCAAGAGAUCAGGGAGGUAUUCAGGAUGGGCAGAGAGGCGGCUCGGGUCACGUGUCUGCCCCGAACCCAAAGGGUGUCUCCUGCCUUUUUGUGGGCAAGGGGUUUGGCUUAGCAGUGUAAAGUAUGACACAAUGAGCAAAGCCAAGUCCUCUGCCAGGCAGCCCCCACCCUGCAGCCCCCAGGGGCAGCCAGAUUUGCCAGGAAUGGGAAGUUGCAAAGUCAUCCUGACCAAAGGGACACCCAGCGACGCAGGCCCAACCCUCGGAGCCGAGAGCCGGGGCCAGGGGGCUGUGGGCCCAGCUUCUCUCCUCGGCCUCCGACUCCGUGAGCUAUGCUUAGUUCAGGGGCAAAAAGGAGCAAGUUCAUGAUUGUUUAUGGAGAAAAUUCUCUGCCAUUGUUGCCAAAGCAGCAGCCCGUUCACCAGAGUGUGAUAUCAACAUACUAAUCACCAUGAAACGCACGCGGAUGGCCCGGGUAAGUAACUUCUAAAUCCUCAGAUUAAACGAAAAAACCACAGCAUUCUUGACUGUGGUGGUGUUUGCGACGGUUUUAUAUCCUAUUUAACGUUUCCAACCUCCCCCAUCUCCCCUCAUUUUAACUCCACUUUAAUUUCCUUCAACGCAGAACACAGACGAGUAUUUUUAAGCCAUCACUUAAACAAGAAAUCAAGCCUGGCGUGGUCACGCGGGACGUCACUGCUUAGCCUCCAGCGGCAGAGCGGCGUGCCGUGCUGACACGGGAUGGAUUUACGCUGCUCGCCCCCCCUUCCUGUGGACGGUAAUAGGGAAGAGUCACAACCAGCGUGACUGAGACCACGGCAGCCGCAUGCUGGGCAUCGUCCUAAGCCCUGUACGCGACUAUCUCGGUCAAACCCCGUAAGUGCUGGCAGUGAGGAUUUUUUAUUACUCUCCCAGUUUACAGGGGGGAAGACGGAGGUUUAGAACAGCUAAGUGGCGCUGCUCAGAUCUAAGCCCGGGGCGGCCGAGUCCAGAACUCUUUCUUCCCCCGCCAGCCUCUGCUCAGAGCACCGGACAUCAAGACAAUGCCUUCUAACAAGACACAUGUUUGGGUCAGAUUUUCGUCCUCAGCAUGAGAAUUCAGGUUUCUGGUGGUUUCUGCCACCCGCACCGAGCCUCACGCAGGCUCCGCCUUCCUGGUGACUCACGGGCCCAGCCAGAGUCAGGUCGACCGGCCUCCCUUGCACCGUUGUCCCCAUCAGCCCCUUCAAGGGAUGUGAAACCACAUACUUUAAGUCAUAAGGGGCAGGGUUUGGAGUGUAACUGCUGGGUCUCAAUCUUGGGCAAGACCCUUCACCUCCAGAGUCUCAAUUUCUGGGGGUGGGAACCAGUGGGAAUGUAGGUACAGCCCCGAGCUGAAGGUGAGCACAGAGCAGGUGCUGAAAUAAAGGGGGCUAUGGCUGUGGCACAGGAGGCCCGAGGCAGGAGAAAACACGACAUUCAGACGCUGCCUCCUUGGUCCAGCACACAACACCUCUGCACCCUCAGCCCCGUGGUGCCAGGCGCUGGCGUUCGCAUAUAUUCGUGAAGUGUUCCUGAAAACCCCAUGACGUGCCUUCUACUGUUAUCCCAGCUUCAAACAGAGAGGGGACCGCUUGCCCCCGGUCAGCGUGGAGCCGGGUGAGACGUCUGUGUGACCUUGUCCGUCCUAAAGGGGUCACAGGCCGUGCCCCUGAUUUACCCCUGCAGCCAGAGUGAGCCACCUUGAAAGCCACCUUGAAAGAGUAAGCCACCUUCUGCACACGCUCACCGGUGCCACCCUGCGCAGGGCCCCAGGCGAAGGCAGUUUGCGAACAGGCGGCGGGCAGAACCGUCUGGGGGCUGCUUGCUUUUGAGAAGGGGGUGCACGGGGGGCCCCACGUAUAUACACGGAGCCUAUGUAUCUCCAAUGUGGUGGCCAGCCAUUCUUUUCCCCAAGUUCACUGCCCAGCUCCCGCCCCCUCCCCCCAAAUCUAUAGAUGACAAUCAGGUUGGUUUUUAUGAUUUAGUGAGAAUCAAAGACAAAGGGGGACUUUUUUUGUCUUGUUUUUGCUAUGACAGCUUUAGAAAUUUGUUGUACUACAUUGAUUCAAUUUUCCUUGAUUUCAGCCAUCUUUCAAUAAUGCAACCUGCUUCUGCUAGCUGGGUAUACAGGAGAAAACCCAAAGGAACUGAGAAUAUUGAAAUGGUUCUACCAUUUCCGUCUUGGAGACAAAUGUGCCUCUCAGAGGAGAGCCGGAUGCAAGCAUGUGACUCUGCCUAACGACCGUCUACACAUAAGAGACGACACACACACUCCAGUGAUGUCUUACGCAAACAGGGAAAACACUGACCGGCGGGUCUGACCCCAGGCUCCUUCCCUCCUCUUGGCUCUCGCUCCUCAGAGUUGUCACGUGGGCUGGAGUCUUGGAUUUCUUUCUUUUUUAUUAGGGAAACAUCCAAACCAUGUGGAACCAGGCGGCCGAAUGGGGCCUCGCUUAUCAGGCACAACGGAAUGUAUCCUGAUCCUUGCUCUAAACCUGGAAGAGGCUCCUCGGAUGUUUCCCCAAACCCCUCCUCAUGACAAAUAAGCAGGAGGAGGAGAGGGAAAGGAGACUCCGGGCCUGUCCCCCAACCUCCACCUUUUAAAAACGGAAGCAUUUUAAAACACUGAGGCCGAACUGUUUCAUCUGUCACUUAAAACCUUCCGGCUUAGAGAACACAAGGAGGUGUUGGUCAUAUGUGAUUUGAAGCAAAAAACACGUUAAAAUGGAAACCCACCAGGACUCUAGUGAUCACUGAGGGUACAGGGGUGAGCGACGGGAGUACAUAUUGCAGAAAACCUGGUCGACAACAGGGCUGGCCCCUGCUGGCAGGGACCCUGCCUGGUCAUCUGUCGACAGCACCCAGCAAGGUCACAGCCCUCCUAAAAGACAGUGACUGUCACUGAUCACUUCCGCCUCUUCUCCAUGCCCGUGUCAAAAGCCGGUUUGCUCCUUCCACAGCUGGGGGGCCGGAGGGGCACAGGGCUUCACCACAUGCCACCCUGACUGCUCCAUCUACGUGGUGGGAUGGGUCGAAGCAGUUCCAGGAGGCAGGAUGGUCAGUCUCUUGUCUGGGACUCCUUGACAUCCAGGGAAGGAGCCGGAGGGAGUUCUAGGCCUCUGGAAAUGCAAGGGGAAUGAAGGACGUGCCCAUCAAUUAUCAUUUGAGAAAUGAGAAAUGAUCAGUCGUGGUGAAAACUGGUAACACUGCAUUUUAAUGGGCGUUUCUAGAAGUUCAUGAAGAUGGGAACUUUUUCUGAGAACGCUGGCUUUUCAACAGAUGACAUGAAAAAUCAAAUGCACAUGGCAACAAGGGUCAGCUGGAAGCCUGGAGAAGUCUGGGCUGAACGCAUGGUGAGAGGGGACCUGGUCCCUGGGGCCCCUGCUCUGAGCCCUCUCUGGGCACAUCGGGCAUUUCAUAUUCCUGAGGUGGGGGUUCCGAAAACAGGCAGCCGGGACGAACAGGUGAAACCGGAGUCUCAGACAAAAGCCCAGGCCUUCGUGGUUCCCAGCCACAGCCCAGAGGUGGGGCUUCCUCUCCUGUUCGGAGCAGGGUGGCGGGGCCGUCCUGGCUGGGCUGGCGGGGGAGGUUAAAGGACAGAGCACAGGGGGUGUGCGCCACGGGGCUUGGCCCAAGCCACCGGGCCUCGGGCACGUGCUGAGUCGGCAGCGCCGGGCAGCAGCGAGCUGGCGAGGGCGAUCUUGGGGCAGGGCCACCGAAGUCGGCACUCCGCUCCCGGGGCUGCGCUGCCAGUAGCCACAAAACAGCCUGGCUCUCUCCCGCUGCCAGCCCGAGUGGCAAGAACGGGGCUGCUUGCCCGCCAUCCAGCAGAGGUCCAGCUGUUGCAUCAUUAGGCUCUAACUGCCCCACUAAACUUUCCCGAUUGGAGCCGGUGCGCAGGACAGAACAGCCUCUCCGAGGGAGCGGGGCGGGAGAGGCGCCAGCGUUGCCAUGGCAACGCGGCCAAGUGGCGUCGGCUGAAGUUACUCAUGCUCCGCAUGUCACGUCACGAGCAUUUUUCAAGAUUAAGCUGCUUACCAGAAGGGUUCAGAGGAGGCCUAUUAUAUUUCAUGAAAAUGGAAACUACAGAGCAGGUCAAAUCGCAAGCCGGGUGGUUUUAAGCUGGAUCCAAGAAAUACACUGAGGGAUUCUUUAGCUGGUGCCCAAACUGGGGCCCUCACGGUUAUUAGCUACUCGAAGCAAAGUUCUGCAAAAAGGAUUUAAAAAGCCCUGAAACAAGUCUAUCGAGCCUGCACGGGCCAGGCCUGUAACAGUUGAGGGCGGGGGCUCUGCACCCAAGGUUGGGGGGGGGCACCAUCUGACAGGGUCCCAGGAGUGCCAGGUGGGGUGGGCUCCUCCCACAGUCUGGGAUCGGGCCUUCAGGCCCCCAGCCAGCCCCCUCAGGCCCCCUGUCAUCAGAGAUAGCUCAGGGCCCCCGGCUGGCCGGCGCAUAGCAUGGGGUUCCUGGGGGCCCACAGUGAGCGGGAGAGCACAGCCGCAGGCACACACACUAGCCGGCCGGCCCUGCCAUUCCGAGGCCUCCCUCCGAUCCAGAGCAGAGAGUGUGGUUAUCGCAGCAUCCGGCAACGACCAUGAAAAAACCAGGCAGCCUUCUUUCUGUAAAAUGUCGUCACGGUUAAAUAAAAAAAAACAAAAAUGAAGUCGAACCUGGGGGCGCCUGGGUGGCUCAGUCGGUUAAGCAUCCGACUUCAGCUCAGGUCUUGAUCUCCUAGUUUCCGAGUUUGAGCCCCACAUCGGGCUCUGUGCUGUCCUGACCUUCGGACCCUCUGUCCCUCCCUCUCUCAAAAAUGAAUAAACGUUUUAAAAAAAAAAUUUAAGAAGUGGAGCUUGGAAACCAAGAACAUUCACAAUGAGCCCAAUUUACGGUCACAUUUGGGAAAAAAAAAAAAAGGCUUGGCCAUGGCCGAAUCUGAGUUUUUCCGCUUGUCUGCCUCGCUCCUUCCCCGCCCCUCGUGCCUGCUUUUCCCUAACUCUCCGAGCACCUGCUACGUGCAGCCGUAGCUGAAGGGGCCCAGAGAGGGAGUUGGGACAACACGAGGGAGGACCAGGGAGUGAGGGCUGCCGGGGGGGGGCCCUGUGUGAUGAGCAGAGGGAACGCAGGCGGGCUGGGGGUGACAGGACAGAAGGGAGAUCAUGCAGAACACUUACACUUUCU
Molecule: long non-coding RNA, 7467 nt
Organism: Felis catus (domestic cat)
Lineage: Eukaryota; Metazoa; Chordata; Mammalia; Carnivora; Felidae
Exons: 5
Source: RefSeq, a predicted model, not a curated record